Molecule: long non-coding RNA, 1114 nt
Filed under: Canis lupus familiaris (dog)
Lineage: Eukaryota; Metazoa; Chordata; Mammalia; Carnivora; Canidae
Description: lncRNA (ENSCAFG00845008321.1)
Source: RNAcentral
CUAGAUCUCCCAUGGAGUCUGGGACAAGUAGCUUCCUCCAGUUGUCUUCUCCUACAGCUGCCUCCCCAAACUCUCAGCAUCCAUUGUUUAUAUCAUCUUUAAAAAGCAUUUUGAAAUGAAGACUUCUGAGGCCAAGAAUAUGGACUUCCCGGAGGCCACUUGCGUGCAUCACUUCCAAGAAGGCUAUUCAGUAAUUCACCGGAUGGCCCAGCUGAGUGAAGGUCAAAGUGAGCAAAGGCAGCACUUUUUAGGAAUUGAACGGGGAUCAGAAAGUUUGCCCUGAUUACGUCCUGAGUCUGGUCUUCCCUCACAAGGUCCGUCGUGGUUUUCUAUCUAGCUGCCCAGCCUCAUUAGCCUCAAGUCUCUUCCUCUUCCUCUCUGAGAUCAAGCUUCGCUCUUUCCACUCUUGGCAUCUGGUUGUGCACCACUGUGGGCAGGGUGAGAGGGCGGAGGGGGAUGAAACCCAAGGCUAAGGCCGCCCCCAGCAGGGGCCACUGGAGCGGAACUUGGCUGCGCACAGAAGAACCCAAAUCAACUUAUUUUGUUUUCCUCUGUUUUUAAGCUCGUCUCCAAACUUCCUGGUUUUGUCCUAAAAUGAGAGCCAGACAGCUUGUGAGCGAAUCCUGACAUCCCUAUGAUCUGAGGCAGCCUAGCCCAGGGGAAAGCGUAUGCAUUUUUUUUUCCUUUUUCCGAAAGAUCCUCCUGGUGGCCACACACAUCAGCAGUUCCUUGCGCACGUGGUUCUUCUUUCUGGUUUCUCCUGACGGUUUCAGAGUCUUCAAGAAGGACCGUGGGCCAGUCUGGCAGGGCCUCACGGAAUCAGACCAUCAGACGUGCCCGCUGAUCUUCAGAGCUCUGCUGUUGAAGCCCGGUGACUCAUUCCUCACUCAAGGUAUUUUGGGUUUGUUACUUCUCAGCCGCUUCACCAAGAACCACAUGGAGCCAAAACAGAGAAGGGAGGAAAUGGGGGUGCAGAUGGGAGGGGUGGGGCAGGAAUCCAAAGUGGCUGUGGAAAAAUUCGGCUGAGGUGCCGUGGUUGAAGCUUGGCCCCGGGGGAGCGAGGCUCUUCCAAAAGCAACAACAGGAAGGAAAGCGUGCUUUGAUUACAACUUCA